UACGUAGGGUGCGAGCGUUAAUCGGAAUUACUGGGCGUAAAGUGUGCGCAGGCGGCCGCGCAAGUCGAGUGUGAAAUCCCCGAGCUUAACUUGGGAAUUGCGCUCGAAACUACGUGGCUGGAGUGUGGCAGAGGAAGGUGGAAUUCCACGUGUAGCGGUGAAAUGCGUAGAUAUGUGGAGGAACACCGGUGGCGAAGGCAGCCUUCUGGGCCAACACUGACGCUCAUGCACGAAAGCGUGGGGAGCAAACAGG
RNAcentral lists this ribosomal RNA (253 nucleotides) under uncultured bacterium. Its description in RNAcentral is "partial 16S ribosomal RNA". It matches the Rfam family "Bacterial small subunit ribosomal RNA", at positions 524 to 776 of the family's 1533-position model. The record is from RNAcentral.